RNAcentral lists this ribosomal RNA (1480 nucleotides) under Pectobacterium carotovorum. Its description in RNAcentral is "partial 16S ribosomal RNA". It matches the Rfam family "Bacterial small subunit ribosomal RNA". Lineage: Bacteria; Pseudomonadati; Pseudomonadota; Gammaproteobacteria; Enterobacterales; Pectobacteriaceae. The record is from RNAcentral.
GAUUGCGAGCGCAGCUACCAUGCAGUCGAGCGGCAGCGGGAAGUAGUUUGCUACUUUGCCGGCGAGCGGCGGACGGGUGAGAAGUGUCUGGAAAACUGCCUGAUGGAGGGGGAUAACUACUGGAAACGGUAUCUAAUACCGCAUAGCGUCGCAAGACCAAAGAGGGGGACCUUCGGGUCUCUUGCCAUCAUAUGUGCCCAGAUGGUAUUAGCUAGUAGGUGGGGUAGGGGCUCCCCUAGGACACUAUCCCUAGCUGGUCUGAGAGGAUGACCAGCCACUCUGGAUCUGACACACGGUCCACACUCCUACGGGGGGCAGCAGUGGGGAAUAUUGCACAGUGGGCGCAAGCGUGAUGCACCCGUGCCGCGUGUAAGAAAAAGGUCUUCGGUUUGAAAAGUAUUUUCCGCGGGGAGGAGGGUGUUGAGGUUAAUAACCUCAAAUAUUGACUUUACCCGCAAAAAAAGCCCCGGAUAACUCCGCGCCAGCCCCCGCUGUAAUACAGAGGGUGCAAGCGUAUAUCAAAAUUACUGGGCGUAAAGCGCACGCAGGCGGUCUGUCAAGUCAGAUGUAAAACCCGCGGGCUCACCCUGGAAUCUGUUUUCGACACUGGCAUGCUAGAGUCUUGUAGAGGGGGGUAAAUUUCCGUGUGUAGCGGAGAAGUGCAUAGAGAUGUGGAGGAAUACCUGUGGCAAAUGCGGCCCCGUGGACAAAGACAGACUCUCAUGUGCUAAAGCGUGGAGAGCAUACAAGAUUAGAUACUCUGAUUCUCCACGCCGUACACUAUGUCCUCUUGGAUUUUGUGCCCUUGACGCGUGUCUUCCAGAUCUCACGUGUAAACUCCCACCGCCUGGAGAGCACGCCCGCUGUUUAACACUAAUGUGUUUUACACGGGGGCCCCCCACGAAUGGCAGAUCAUGUGUUUAUAUUCCGAUGCACGCGAAUAACCUUCACCUACUCUGGAUCUACAGAAAUCUUUCCAGAGAUGGAUUGGUGCCUUCGGGAACUCUGAGACAGGUGCUGCAUGGCUGUCGUCAGCUCGUGUUGUGAAAUGUUGGGUUAAGUCCCGCAACGAGCGCAACCCUUAUCCUUUGUUGCCAGCGGUUCGGCCGGGAACUCAAAGGAGACUGCCAGUGAUAAACUGGAGGAAGGUGGGGAUGACGUCAAGUCAUCAUGGCCCUUACGAGUAGGGCUACACACGUGCUACAAUGGCGCAUACAAAGAGAAGCGACCUCGCGAGAGCAAGCGGACCUCAUAAAGUGCGUCGUAGUCCGGAUUGGAGUCUGCAACUCGACUCCAUGAAGUCGGAAUCGCUAGUAAUCGUAGAUCAGAAUGCUACGGUGAAUACGUUCCCGGGCCUUGUACACACCGCCCGUCACACCAUGGGAGUGGGUUGCAAAAGAAGUAGGUAGCUUAACCUUCGGGAGGGCGCUUACCACUUUGUGAUUCAUGACUGGGGUGAAGUCGAACAAGACUUCUCUAC